This 193-nucleotide non-coding RNA is filed under the name Bacillus sp. (in: firmicutes). Lineage: Bacteria; Bacillati; Bacillota; Bacilli; Caryophanales; Bacillaceae. The record is from RNAcentral.
AAAAUAUUUUUAAAAUUAGGUGCUAAAAUCUUUUCGAAAGAUUUUCUGCUUAAAAGGGAAGUUUGGUAUAAGCCAACGCGGUCCCGCCACUGUAAAUGAGAGCAACCUAUAUUGUGUCACUGUCGACUACGAUGGGAAGGCAUAGGAAGCGACGAUCAUGAGUCAGGAAACCUGCCUAAUUCUUGUGCGCCAA